GCCGCUCCGAGGCUUCGACCUGCAAGAAGCAGAGAUGUUUCCCAUGAUGGCGACGGAAUGGCAGAUGCAACGUCGUUGCUGAUGACUGGUGAAACUUCUUGCUGAUUGCAGUGUGCAGAUCUGUCCAGAUGCCCUUGUUGAUGGAAACCACUUGCAAGUUUUUCCACUUAAAAUGUUCAGAUUUGUGGUUGAUUUUAGAUCAUAAAGAAGCUGGCAACAUUCUGUCUUUGGCCUCUUUUUUUGUGGGCUGCUCCAUCUGUUGAAAAGUUAUAAAUGCAUUUUACUGUUUUUGAUUUCGCACAUUGUGUCUCGAAGCCUAUCAAGAGCCCUCACGGUGUGCACGUCGUUAUCUGAACAACCUGCAUAUUACAGGAUUUUCAGGAACAACAGGACAACUUGAAUUUCUGGUGCACGUUGUUCAAAAUGCCCCUGCCCUGAAGAUCUUGACGAUCAAAGGGGCUGACUUGACUGGUUGUGAUCUCAAUCAAGAAGGGAAAGGCAAUUAUUUUUUCAGUUUCGAGAAUUGGAUAAUUUCACCAAAUGUUGAGCUGCGUAUUAUUUAACUGUAUGCCAGACAUGUAGCGGCUCUUGUACAUGCAACGGGUUGCUGUUUUGUAAUUUCCCUCCCUUUUUGAUUGGAACACAAGGUACUUGUCUGCAUGUAAACAUAUAGU
This is a long non-coding RNA of Triticum aestivum (bread wheat), 674 nucleotides long. RefSeq lists it as uncharacterized. Lineage: Eukaryota; Viridiplantae; Streptophyta; Magnoliopsida; Poales; Poaceae. The record is from RefSeq and is a predicted model, not a curated record. The transcript has 3 exons.